RNAcentral lists this ribosomal RNA (245 nucleotides) under uncultured bacterium. RNAcentral describes it as "partial 16S ribosomal RNA". It matches the Rfam family "Bacterial small subunit ribosomal RNA", at positions 524 to 768 of the family's 1533-position model. The record is from RNAcentral.
GACAGAGGUGGCAAGCGUUGUUCGGAUUUAUUGGGUGUAAAGGGCAGGUAGGUGGUUGUAUAAGUUUGGUGUGAAAGCCCACGGCUCAACCGUGGAAAUGCACCGAAAACUGUAUGACUUGAGUACCGGAGAGGUGAAGGGAAUUCUCGGUGUAAGGGUGAAAUCUGUAGAUAUCGAGAGGAACACCAGUGGCGAAGGCGCUUCACUGGCCGGUUACUGACACUGAGCUGCGAAAGCAAGGGGAG